Molecule: ribosomal RNA, 418 nt
Filed under: uncultured bacterium
Lineage: Bacteria
Description: bacterial SSU rRNA
Rfam family: Bacterial small subunit ribosomal RNA
Source: RNAcentral
AACGAACACUGGCGGCGUGCCUAACACAUGCAAGUCGUGCGAGAAAGUUCCUUCGGGAGCGAGUAAAGCGGCGCACGGGUGAGUAACACGUAGGUAACCUGCCCCCCAGUCUGGAACAACUAGAGGAAACUCUAGCUAAUGCCGGAUGAGACCACGAUCCCUUCGGGGGUUGCGGCCAAAGAUGGCCUCUACUUGUAAGCUAUCGCUGAGGGAUGGGCCUGCGGGCCAUUAGCUUGUUGGUGAGGUAACGGCUCACCAAGGCUGUGAUGGCUAGCUGGUCUGAGAGGAUGACCAGCCACACUGGGACUGAGACACGGCCCAGACUCCUACGGGAGGCAGCAGUGGGGAAUAUUGCGCAAUGGGCGAAAGCCUGACGCAGCGACGCCGCGUGGGUGAUGAAGGCCUCGGUCGUAAGACC